GCCCAGGUAGCUCAGCUGGUAGAGCAGUGGACUGAAAAUCCGCGUGUCGGUGGUUCGAAUCCGCCCCUGGGCA
RNAcentral lists this transfer RNA (73 nucleotides) under alpha proteobacterium BAL199. It matches the Rfam family "tRNA". From Rfam's summary of the family: Transfer RNA (tRNA) molecules are approximately 80 nucleotides in length. Their secondary structure includes four short double-helical elements and three loops (D, anti-codon, and T loops). Further hydrogen bonds mediate the characteristic L-shaped molecular structure. tRNAs have two regions of fundamental functional importance: the anti-codon, which is responsible for specific mRNA codon recognition, and the 3' end, to which the tRNAs corresponding amino acid is attached (by aminoacyl-tRNA synthetases). tRNAs cope with the degeneracy of the genetic code in two manners: having more than one tRNA (with a specific anti-codon) for a particular amino acid; and 'wobble' base-pairing, i.e. permitting non-standard base-pairing at the 3rd anti-codon position. Lineage: Bacteria; Pseudomonadati; Pseudomonadota; Alphaproteobacteria. The record is from Rfam by way of RNAcentral.